UACGAAGGGGGCGAGCGUUGUUCGGAAUUACUGGGCGUAAAGGGCGCGCAGGCGGCUCAGACAGUCAGAUGUGAAAGCCCCGGGCUCAACCUGGGAAUGGCAAUGGAUACUGGCAGGCUAGAGUGCGGUAGAGGGUAGUGGAAUUCCCGGUGUAGCGGUGAAAUGCGUAGAGAUCGGGAGGAACACCAGUGGCGAAGGCGGCUACCUGGACCAGCACUGACACUGAGGCACGAAAGCGUGGGGAGCAAACAGG
RNAcentral lists this ribosomal RNA (253 nucleotides) under uncultured bacterium. RNAcentral describes it as "partial 16S ribosomal RNA". It matches the Rfam family "Bacterial small subunit ribosomal RNA", at positions 524 to 776 of the family's 1533-position model. The record is from RNAcentral.